AACCAUUCUCACCUGCGGCUAGACCUGCGGAGGGAUCAUUACACAAAUUAAAAUAUGAAGGCUUCGGCUGGAUUAUUUUUAUCACCCUUGUCUUUUGCGCACUUGUUGUUUCCUGGGCGGGUUCGCCCGCCACCAGGACCACACCAUAAACCUUUUUUUAUGCAGUUGCAAUCAGCGUCAGUAUAACAAAUGUAAAUCAUUUACAACUUUUAACAACGGAUCUCAGAUCGGAAGAGCACA
Molecule: unclassified non-coding RNA, 240 nt
Filed under: soil metagenome
Description: partial contains 5.8S ribosomal RNA, internal transcribed spacer 2, and large subunit ribosomal RNA
Source: RNAcentral